This 438-nucleotide long non-coding RNA is filed under the name Brassica napus (rape). Its description in RNAcentral is "long non-coding RNA (BNAP_LNC025455)". The record is from RNAcentral. Lineage: Eukaryota; Viridiplantae; Streptophyta; Magnoliopsida; Brassicales; Brassicaceae.
GUGGGAGAAGAAGAAGGCCGCAACUGAUUGUGAAACUCGUCUUAGGGACGUGUGUGGAUUUUUUAAGAGACUUGUGUGGCACGAAUCAAGCAUCUUUCCAGAGACCAACUGGAAGUGCUAGACCAAAAUUUUGGAUUUUUUUUUUGUAGCGCGCUUUUAUCCGUGUGUUGGAUGUUCGAGGAUCAAAAGGAUGAUCGGGUUGCGUUUGUUUAAGACGGCUGGCAUGUUCGUCAGAGCCAAUAGGCGAACGGGGUGUAAAUUUUUGUCGGGUUUUUAUGGUCGCGUUCGGACAAUUGUUUGCCGAGUUUCGAAUUUUAACUUGGCGACGUCUCACAGUUGUUUCGAAGACUAUACAUAUAUUCUAGGUGCUGAAGAAUGAUUGCUUUGCGAUUUGGGCCGGAUAAGGCUGUUGACUAGAGUCUAAUGUUUGUAGACUUU